This 31759-nucleotide long non-coding RNA is filed under the name Brassica napus (rape). RNAcentral's name for it is "long non-coding RNA (BNAP_LNC022347)". The stretch from base 171 to 244 matches the Rfam family "tRNA". The record is from RNAcentral. Lineage: Eukaryota; Viridiplantae; Streptophyta; Magnoliopsida; Brassicales; Brassicaceae.
AAUUUAGAAAGUUUUUAAAAAAUUAAACUUUUCGCUUCAUAGAUAAAAGAUAUUGUGACUUCUGUUUUAAUAUAUAAUUAAUAUAUAAGAUAAAAGUAAAAAUUCAUAAUUUCAUAUGGUGGCGUUUUACAUUGUGAAGAAUAAUAUUAGUCGCAUUAGAGUUAACGCAAGCUGGAAUAGCUCAGUUGGUUAGAGCGUGUGGCUGUUAACCACAAGGUCGGAGGUUCGACCCCUCCUUCUAGCGCAGUUUUAUGUUUUUAUCUUCUUGACUUCUUGAAUCAAUCAAGUCUCGUGAACGAAUUUGUAUGCAUUUCACUUUUCACAAAAGCCUGUCCUCUAACUGUUUGAAAAUUUCAAUUAAACAGACGAAGAUCAUCAAGAGAAAUCUUCUCACGGUUAUGUUAUGUACAAGACCAAUCAUCUUUGUUUGCUCGUCGUGGAUUCUUGAACUGUGUCGGUGCUUCGUUCUUGGCCACAUUUGAGUUUUCGGGAUUACAUGCAGAGGAGAAGUAUGAUGCAGAGAAGGAAAGAGUUGUUGGUGCCAUCGAAUCGAUUCGUGAUUAUUUGAGCAAGUGGAGAGGGCAGAAGAGUGUAGCUGGAGAAGUAACAUUCUUCCUCUUUUGUUUUCAUGUUUUGACAGUUGAUGAAUGAAGCUGAAUGAUAUUUAUAGUAAUUCAUCUUUAUCAAAAUGCACCAUAUAGUUUGUGAUUUGAUCAAUUAAGCCCCCUUUAGUGAGGAAAUUGAUCUACUAACUACAGCGAAUUUCUAUGUUACAAACCCUUCUUGUGGAAAGAGGCAACGGAAUGUACAUAUGAAGCCCAACAUUUUUGUUUAUACUGGGAAAAUAGGCUAUGGUUUGUGCUUAUGUGUUUUAACAAAAAUUCAAAUGUCCAUGGGCCGACGCAAUUGUUAUAUUUCUCAUUUUAUUGUUUUUCAUACCUGCUAUGUUUUAAACAUUAUAUACAUGCUAUGUUCGUCUCACAUUUAUAAAUCAAUCCCAACAAUUACCUUCUCCAAUAUAUCAAUGUAUUUGUGUUGACUACCUUUCCGAACGGGUAUGGAAGGAGGAACCAAUUAUAUGUAAUCACCUAUGUAUUGGCUAUAAGAAAAGGCAGAACACUUAAUUCAUCUCUAAUACAUUGUUUGAUCAGUCAAAGAUAUGUAAAAAUGUGAAAUGAUGCGAUAAAUAUCGAAUGUUUAACAAACGCCACUAACUCAGUGAAAGUAUCAUUGUUUCUUGUCACUUACAUCGAUUUCAAAAUUUGAAAUUAGAUAUUAGAACCCAACAGAAAGGAGAAGAUGAAAUCGAGUUUGUAGGAAGUUUCGUAACAUAUGAAAGAAAUGUUUAGUGAGAAUGAGAAGAAGUAAGUAAGAGUCUUGAGGGGUCACGUGAGUUGUUGUUGACAUAAUGCGUCAGACCAACUUAACUAGUAUAAUAUUUCCAAAAGUGGCUAAGUCAAUUAUUACUGUAAUAAUAAUGUCACCACUGUUCAAAAUCUAUAACUAAUUCACAUUUGAAUAGGUUAAUAGAUUGUAAUCAGAGCUGAUCGUACAUAGUUGAUUGUAUGUACGUUUAACAGAGGUGAAAUUGAAAUUUUCAAUUUCAGAGAACAGUCUAGUUUUUUCCUAUUUAUUGAUUAGUCAUAAUUUUAAAAUAGUCAACGUAAAUUUCAAAAUUACUAUCAAAAUAACAUUAGAUAAAUUAUCAUGUGAUUUUUUGGUUAAGUAAUCAUUGAGUUAACCGAAUAGAUCUCAACAUACAUUGUUUGAUUACUGAUGAAAUCGAGAUUUUAAAGAAAACAGUUCAUGAAUAAAAGGGUUGGUCAACUAUGCAUGCAAAUUUAUUUGAAUUAAAGGUUAUUUACAAUCGUCAUUAAAAGAUAACCAAACUAAAUAAGUACUACUUAAAUGCAAUAAGUGUGUUAUAAAUGAACAAACAAACAUAAUCAUGUGACUUUUCAUGCGAUUAAUAAUGAAAAGUUUGAAAUUAACUCGAAGUCGUCGCAUUGUAUAUUACUAAUAAAUACUUCCUCCUUCCAUGCAGAUAGUAUUUUAUAAUCAUCUCUUCCAAAAUAUGGGUAAAUACAAACAGAAGAGCCAUAAAAGUAAAAGGUCACUCAUGAGUCAUGAUAUAGUUAAAUAUGUACUUUAUUUUAUUUAAGUAAGUAUGCUUUUAUUUUCAUCAAAGAUACAUUUUGAUAUCACAUUCAAUUAUUUGUUCACGGGCUUCAUCCUCUUUUCCUCCAGCUUUUCAUUUAUGUACAUGCCUCUGUUUUCUUAUUAAUUUCCAGGAUGAAGUUAUUAGUUUUGAUCAAAAGUAAGACUUCUAUUUAUCUUAUUUUCUGUUAAGAAAAAACCGGACAUCUGUUUUUGAAAGAAUAAUACUCCCUCCGUCUCUUUAUAAUUGACGUUUUAGCAUUUUGAUUUUGUUUCAAAAUAUUAGACGUUUCCUAAAAUAUAGGCAAAUAAUAACUAAAGUUGAUUUCAUUUAUCCUUGUGUUAUGAUCUGUCGUAAUAAUGAGUUGUAUAUACAAAAUGAUAGAUUAGGCACUGUCUUAAUCUCCUAAAUUUGUGUGAAAAAUUGUUAAACGUCAUUUAAAAGAAAACAGAGGGAGUAUUUGAUUAAGAAAAUAUUUAGUUCAUAAAAACAAAGAUUUACCUAUUGUCUAGAAGAGAAAAAGAAACACGUUUAUGAUAAACGUUGCGGAUGUGAACAAUUUGGCAUUUUGCUAUUCGGGUGUGACACUAUUUUGUUGAAUUGAAUGAUCUCUAUCAUUAUGAUAAUCUUUUAUACUUAUUUUAUAGUUUUACAUCAUUUAUAUCAUAAUUCUUUUAAAAAUAUAUAUAUAUUUCUUAUCAGAUUCGCUCGCUACAUAGUGGAUUGAGUAUCAUACUAACUAGUCCGGGUUUAAAAAGACUUUUGACUAAUAUUAGAAACAAUCAAAUAUCUAUUAUUAAAUUAACAUGUAAACUGUUUGGCUAAGCAGUAAAAAAAUAUUACCAACAAAAAUCAAACCCAAAACAGAUAGGUUUACCCGAUGCUCCAAGUUAGUACUUACCAUUAGCUAUCUCUAUCUUGGUUAAUUCUUUCAUAUUUGGUCAAAGAAGUUUGAAAUGGUAUGGAUAAGAACAAUUAAAUGAACCAAAGAUUAUGCAUAUGAAAUCUUAUAGCCAAUAUGAAAAAUAAUACAAAAGAAAAACACAAGGUCACUAUAUUCUACUUGAAGGUACACCUUUGCUGAUACGAAUAUUUGAUUUUGUGCUGUUGGCUGUCAAAGACAUAGACUUUUAAACUGUCGUUUCCACUUCCUACUGAUGAACCUUUGUAUUCUUAUCAAAUAUCACCAAACUUUAAUUUUAUAACUUGGACCGUUGUGAGUUGUACGAUAUUUUAAUUAUUAACUACGUGUACAGAUUGUCCAUGCCGUGCUAUCACAAUUUCACAAGAUAGUUCAUUGGUCUCAGUGUUCAAUGAUCUCUCUUACUCUCAUUUUUCAAGAGUCUAUUAUUCAAAUUGUAUAAGAAAACUACAGACUCCAAACAAUAUUUGGUAGAGAAAACAAUAGAUCGAUAAAAUCAAAUUAUAAUCUACACACUAGAUUUUGACCCGUGCUUGGAAAGCGCGGAGUUAUUAGAUUAUAUUAUAAUACAAAGUUUUAUUAUAUCGAAAAAUAUAAUUUUUAACAGCUAUAUAAUCUAUAAAUUAGUUUAUUUAAGAUUUUAUAUGUACACUUUUACGUAAGUUUCUUUUCGACAUGAGAAUUAUAUCCGGAUCAAAAAACAAACCAACCGAUCCAAAAUUAUAGGUUUAGUUCAUGUCCACAGAAGAUAACCUAUUGGUUUUUUUUUUACCCGCAGGUCUUUGUUUGAGUCUGUGUCCUACCCUAGACCCGAUCAUAAAUAUAUGUUUAUUAGGUAUAUUUGAAUAUUUUGAAUAUGUUUCCGGUAUUAUGGAUAUUGUUUUUAAGUUUUUGGUUUACGAUUAGAGUUUUGAUUUCAGGUAAAUUUUUCAAAUUAAAAAAAAAAUUGGGUAUUUGGAUAAAAUUUUGGAUAUUUUUCAGUUCAUCGUAUCAGAUUUUGAAUAAGAUUUUAAAUUUUUAGGUAUUUGAACUUUUUUGGUAUUUGUUUGGAGUUUCAAAUACUUUUCGUGUUUCGGGUAUUUUCAGAUUUUUUAUAUAUUUCAAAUUCUUUUAGGAUCUUAAAUACCCGAACAGAUGUGGACACAUUACGUUCAUAUCAGGUCCAACAACCUUUUGAUAUAAUUUUUAAAGUUAUUGUACAAAAACAUGGUUGAUGAAAUAUUUUUCUGAGUAAAGAUAUCAUCAGAAAUAAUAUUAAGAUCUGUUAAAAAUAUUUAAAAUAUUGUACGUUUAGAAUGAUUAAUGUAUUAUCAGAAAAAUAAUAAAUAGUUAUACAUAACUCCAACAACUUUUUUAUAUUAGAUUUUUUAAAACUCUUUCCUUUUUAAUAGUAUUGAUUGUUGUAAGUGAAAAGUAUAUAAAAGUAUAAUAUCUAAACAAAUAAUUUUCAAAAUCUUGAAUAAUCAAUAUUGAUAUCGUGAAGUCGGUUUAGCUUUAAUAGAACCAAUGAAUUUCUUCAUUUUUUGAAGGUAACAUGAAUAUUCAGAAAAAUCAUUUUUAAAUAUGAAAAUAUUAUCAAACUAUAGAUGGUUGAAAGUUUAGUAUAUGAUAUGAGAUUUUAGUGGGAAAGUUUAUAUAUGAUAUAAUUACUUUAUUAUAAACGAAAGAGGAAGUUAGAAUGUACACAUAUAUGUCUUGUAAUUUAUCUUGCUUUAAAUUAUAUAUUAUAUGAUAAAAGUGAUAAUAUAAAACAUUAGUUUCAAUGCUUUUACGAUUAAAAAUCAAAAUGAUAAAUAUAGUAAUAGUAAUGAUUAGGAUUUAAGAGUGAGAUUUAAACAAAUAAAAGAAUUGACUAAAUUAUUGUUAGAAAAAUAUAUGGUAACAUAUUGCUAGUAUAAAUUUAAGGUAAGACCAAAAAUAAUGAAUUAAAUGAAAGGGUCCAAACAACUUUUAUAGGUAGAUUUUUUUAGACUCCUUCCCUUUUAAUAGUAUUGAUUAUCAAGUUCCGAAAAAACCAAAAAAAACUCGAACGUUUUAUUAUAACGAGAUCAGAUAAACUCGAACGUUUUAUUAUAGCUAUACAAGUUGGAAAAUAUAUUAAGCUUGUAUAUUACUCCCUCUGUACCUUAAAGAUCAAUUUUUUAGAAGAAAAAAAAAUUGUUUGAAAAAGAUACAUUUUUUACAUUUUCAAUACAUUAAUUAAUGAAAAAUUAUACUUUUCAAAAUUAAUAAAAUUUCAUUGGUUAAAAGUUAUUGGAAAUAGUUAAUUAGGAAAAACAAUGUAUUGGAGAAUAUAAUUUUAAAUGUUUUCUUAAUAAGUGUGAAAAAACUAUAACAUGGAUCUUUUAGGAAUAUAGGGAUUAAAACAAAAUUUACCAAAACAUGUUAUGAUUCUUUGUCAAGUAUAGAGUGAAAAUAGAAUUUUUAGGUUCGCUUGAUAAAAAACAAUAGAGAAUUAUAUCUCAUUAAUUAAUUUCAGACUAAAAAUUCAAUAGAUUAAUAUUUUACUAAUUUCAUUAAUACGUUUAAAAUAUUACAACCGGUUAUUAAUUAACUUUAAUAGGUCCGAUGUUUGCUUUCUUUGUUUUUUUUUGUCGUUGUUUGUUGUUUCUGUAGGAGGGACAAAGUGAUGGAAUUUAAUUUCUUUGAAGCUACUUUUUUGGCAUUUAAUUUCUUUGAAGCCUACUUAAUAAACUAAAAUUAUGCGUAAUGACAAAGUGAUGGCAUUUAAUUUCUUUGAAGCUACUUUUUUGGCAUUUAAUUUCUUUGAAGACUACUUAAUAAACUAAAAUUAUGCGUAAUUACUACGCCGGGGACAAAAGUGAUGUGAAUUAAAUCCGAUUCAUAGCACGAGAGACACCUGCCCAGUCAACCUAUCUAUUGACCAUUUCUUGUUUCCUCUUUUAAAGUAUGUCAUAUACGUAUCUUCACAUGUUUUACGUAUAUCAUCCGUGUAUUUAUCAAGACUGUGUGAAUAAUAUUUGUAAAUUUCUUCGCGUUCUUUAGCUUUUACCAUCUUCGACAAUACAAUGUUGUUUUGAUGUAAAAUGAUACUUUCAAUAAGCAAUAGCUUGUGUCUGAAGCAAAGUAACAUGUUGAUUUAAGAUCCGAUGUUAUCAUGAUUUCACACCCAUUGAAGUAAACAAUUGUCAUGUUUUGUUUAUAUGUUCAUGCGAAACAAGUUGGACUAGUUUAAUUUGAUAUAAAUAUAUAUUGUUUGAAACCUCAAUAAUAAUACGUUAGUUCUAGACUUGUAGUAUACUAUAGCAUAUACGUGGAAAAAGAAGAAUAUGUUUGUUGUAGUAGACGUCAACAAAAAGAAGAAUAUGUUUGUUGCGCUAACAACAAUAUUCAUCCAUUUCAAAGGGAAAAAAGAGAGAUUGAUGUGAUCAAAUAUUAUUGCUUUUAGAAACUACUAUUGAAAGUUCAACGAGUUUUUAAGUAAAAGUCGAAUCCUUGUAAAAAUGUCUGUUCCAACGGGCAAGCAGCUGUUAUAAACUCUUCACGCCGUUUGACCUCUUUUUGACCUUCUAUCUUUGAAAAAAAUUAUAUGUUCUUAAUUACUCCCUUCCUAUCAUGUAACUUUUAUUUGAUUCUAUGUUUUAAAAAAAAAAAAUCAUUUCAUUAGGCUCUCGGUAAUAUUAUGUUAAGUAUAUCCACUUUCCUUUUUGCUUGUUUACAAAACAAAAGUUGAUGAAAAUUAUUUUUUUGCUUAUUAAAUUAAUAUAUCAAUAAAAUAUUCAAGACAUGACCAUGAGUCCAUGACAUUGGGCUAGAGUAGUUUCAACGGCGUCAGCUGCCGUUAACCUCAAUCACCAAAAUAUAUACAACAAGGGAAUCUCUUUCUCUCUCACACCAUUCUCACUUCCAUUUUUUUUUUCAAAAUCUCUUUUUCCCACACACAUUCUCUCUCUAGCUUGAAGAACAAGCUUGGUAUAGUUGUUUCAACGGGCUAUUUUAUCAAUCUCUUUCACAAAUAAAGAAGAAGGAAGAAGAUAUCUUUGAGUUGAUAUCUCAAGAAAAUGGGGAAGAAAGAGCAGAAGGAUCAUUCAACAGUAGAGAGCGUCGACAAAGUUGAAGCGGUUCUUCAUCUCCUUCGUAAACAUUCUCCUCUCACUCUCAAACAGGUUUGUUUACUAAUGCAUUAGCCCACUAAUCUUUUCAUUAAUUUAGCUACUGGUUUAUUUUUUAUGUAUUGAUUUAUUUGGUACUCUAUUUAAUUUUUGUUAUUGUCGGGUAAUAUUAUUGCAGGAGAAGUUCUGUAACAGAGCUUGUGUCAGUAGAUUCUUGAGAACAAAAGGAGACAAUGUGAAGAGAGCAGCUAAACAGUUAAGGUCUUGCCUUUCAUGGAGAUCUUCUCUUGGCAUCGGUAUAUUGUCUCUCUCUCUCUCUCUUAAAAACCUUAUUCAUAUAGUCUAUGCACGUAUAUUUGCAGUCUUUAUCAGUAUAUAUGAUGUUCUUCUACGUAUAUGUUAAUAUACAUAAAUACAUGUGUAUAUAUAUUUAUUCGUGUACUAACACGCGUACGUUACAUUUUCAGAGGUCCAAAGCUUUAUUUAAAUAAACGGUCAAUUUUUUAAAAACAAUCAAAAGUGAGGAUAAAAAUAACAUAAAGCUUAAAGUUAGCAUGGUGUUGUAGUGUAUAGAUAGUUGGUAGAUUUGUUAGUGGCUAUAGUUUUGAUAUUUGUAUUUCUUUUGUGUAAUUAGAACAGACGUUUCGUUGCUUUUUCUCGGGUUUUGAUGUGUCCCAUGUUUGAACAUCGAGCGUUAAAGUGAAUAUCCACUCAUUAUGACACCCACUUAUUUUAACCUCUUCUGUUUAAUUUUCAAGAUUCUGUUUUACCUUUUUCUUUUGAAAUUUAUUAUAAAUAUAUUAACAUGCUACAGAGAGCUUGAUCGCCGACGAGUUCACGGCGGAGCUAGCUGAAGGUCUUGCCUAUGUCGCCGGUCUUGACGACGAGUGUAGACCCGUUUUGGUAACUUAAUGUUUCUCACCUUUUUAUGAUUUUGUUUAUCAUUUAUUCCCAAAAACCUAAAUUAAUACAUUUUUCUCUUAGGUUUUCCGCAUUAAACAAGAUUAUCAGAAGUUACAUACGCAGAAACAGUAAGCAUAAAUCACCAUAUACACAAAAUAAAACAUCAAAUAUCAAAUAAAAGAAAUUCUCAAAAUUAAUCUAUAUUGGUUUAAUUUUUUUCUUAAAAAGGUUGAUUCGCUUGGUGGUCUUUACAUUGGAGGUGGCAAUCUCAACCAUGUCCAGGAACGUCGAAGAAUUUGUCAUCCUUUUCGAUGCUAGUAAGUUCGAUAUCUAUCUUUUGUUGUAGGAAAACUAUUUAGGAAAACAAGGUUUCUAAAUAAAGGAGAAAAAGUGAAAAAAUUCAAAAAAGUAUAAGUAACUAUUUCUGUUUUGUCUUUUAUCCUCAAUGGUAAUAUUGUCACGGUGAGUGAAUAUGAAACACAAAUGUCUAUUUUUAACCAAAAGAAGAUUGGUAAAAUUUGGGGACCGGAACAUGUCGGAACCCCGGCAGGAAAGUAGGAGAGAUAACGCUCUGAAAUUGUCCGUAGUAUCCCUGUUUAGUCUCGGUCACACGAAUCACAGUCUCAAACUAUUGAGGGUAGUAUUGGCAUUAACUUAUGUCAAGCUUCUACAGUUGUUGCAGCACUUCUCAAACACUGAUAGUACUGUUCAGCUUUUCAUUAAAUGUUCCUCUUCUGAUCCUCUGUAACUCCUACAGUACACCUUCCAUUUUCAUGCAUUAUUUAUUUUUUAAAUUUAAGAUUAUCAUUGACCAAAAUUUUUUUUUUAAGAUUAUCAAAUAUUGAACAAACAAAUACUUGCGUUCAUAUUUUUUUUCAGUCUUUGUAACAAAGGUUAUUAUUCAUUCCAUACACACGUUGAUUGUGAAUGGUUAGCUAAUAUUUUUUCAACUAUUUUGAAAUUUCAGGCUUAUUCAAAUCAGCAUCAGCCUUCAUGAACAUACUUGUGACUACACUCAGAAUAGUUGCAGAGUAUUAUCCUUGUCGUCUUUACAAAACUUUCGUCAUCGAUCCUCCUUCUCUUUUCUCCUACCUUUGGAAGGUAAUUAAUUUGACAAUUGCAUUACUAUCAUAUACGAAAUAUUAUAGUAAACUUAGCUGUACAUCUAACGUGACUGCAUUUUUGAAAAUUUGAAUAUAGUUAGCAUAAGUCAAAGUGUUAGUUCACCUAUCUAAAGUAACGUAAGUACGUAACAUCAAGACUUUUUAAGUUGAAGUCAGUGAGACUGAUCCUCUACGUUCACGUGUAGGGUGUUCGUGCAUUCGUGGAUCUGUCACCGACCACGACGAUUGUAUCGAUGUUAGACUUCCAAAACUUGUAUGACUACGACGACUUCACUUCAUCAUACCCAUCACGAGUCUCCUCCCUCCGUUUCGACAAGUCACCAACAAAACCAACGGACAAGAUUAGCUCCUCCGCAUCCUCUAGGUUCGCCUUCACCGUGUCCCGCGACGGUCUCGACACGGUCAAACCGUGGUGCCUCACUCUCACCGACACGUCAUCGUCGUCCAAACUCGGACACACGAGCGCGUACAUCUCACCGCUAAACGCGCGUUCUUUCUCCUUCGCGUCACCCGCGGCUAGGCGCGAGCCCAUCGAUGGACCAAGGAGAAGCUUUUUCGCUUCCACGCCGAUGCCAGCUAGGACUAGCGACCGUCACUCUAUCGGAACCCUCCGUGACCCGCGGAUACCUCGCCCGUCUUUCUUCCAGUCUCCGGCGGUGUUUUUCCGGCGAGAGUCACAAGUUAGUAAAACUGAGAAGCCGCGAGAUUCGUUCGUUCCUUUUCUCAAGUUUUAUCGUAGGCCGUACGAUGAGAUGACUUAUAGGUCAAAGAUGCGGCCCCCACUCGGUGGUCUUGUCUCUAUUGUUUCUAGCCAGAUCAGACGCCGCCACGUGUCUUUAUCUCAAAGGUUCUAACUCAUGAAGCUAUCAACCAGUUAAAGAAGUACGUAGUAUAGUAUAUAACUUUUGUUACCAUUUUGUGGCCAUUUUAUUAUGAGAGUUAUCCAUUAUUGUUUGUUUCUAUCAUAUGUAUGUUUAGUUCGUCAAGAUGUAUUUCUAAUAAUUUUGAUCAAUUGUUUAUUUAUUCAGCAACUUUUUUCUAUUGGUUUGAUUUCUUCAACUAUCUAAAUUAUUCCAAACAUUUUUGAACUUUCAAUGCGUUGUAUAAGUUAUGAUUUGAAUUUUAAUACUUUAGCUUUUUUUUCAUACAUGAUUAUAGUUAAUAAUUACCAUGGCCACAGUUCGGGAUAAGCAUGCAAAAAGUCUUCGUUUUGAAGAAAAGACAACGUGGUCGUGACGGAGAAUGGUUCUUUUGGGGAAAUUCAAAUGAGAAAAAUGCGAUGUUGCCGUUGUUUCUUUAUUCAUACAAGUACCUACAUGUGACCCCAUUAUUUACUAAUCAUAAAAUAAAUAAAUAAAUAAGCAAACCGUUGACAAAUAAUCUUAUAGUAGUAAAAAACUGAAAAGAAAGUGUAAGCAGUUAAAGUUUUUCGUUUAUUUUAGCUAAAAGACAAAUAAAGAGACAUUUGAUGUUCUUGAAUCCAUUCACUAACCUUGUAUGAGAAAGCUACGUAUAUGCACUUUAAUUGAAAUAUGUAUACACAUUACCCUUAUAAUUUUUUACUUCGUUUCUUUGUCAAACCUAUUUCUUUGUCAAACCUACUUAGUUAUUUAUUCAGAAUUAGUCCCAAUGGAGGAGGACCUCGUAAAAAGCUGAGAUACAUACAUAAACUUAACCCUUGCAUUUUUUUUCAAAAUAAUUUCAAAUUUAACGCAAAAGGAUUCAGAUAUGUAAAUAAGCCAUAGAGGUUAUGGGUUUGACAGUACUUUAUCCAACUAGUUUUAAUAUUUGUUAGGAAUAUGUGUAAACUGAGUAAGUGUAUAAUGUUAUAAUUGAAUGAAAAGGUCAAGGUGGACUUUCUUCUGUUUUGUAGUGGUUGUGUGUAUUUGCAUGGUGUUGCAUUAUAAUAUUAAGUGUACUAUUGCAAGCAAAAUUAUACUAUUAAGAUACUUUUAUAUCAUCAUAGAGAAAUGCGUAUUAUGUCUUGGAGCAAUUGUCUUCAUUGCAUCAAGGUUUAUUGAAAAUCACAUUUGUGAAGCGAUAUGACGUAACCUGGGUUAAGCAUUUUCUUUUUGGAAUUACGCAUAUGUAUUUUUAUCCAAGUAUACUUAUUUUUCAUAAAGUUAAAUUAAAAUGGCCUUUACUUGCAUAAUUUUCGGGGUCAUUUUCUUUUUGUUCAACUGUUGAUAUGUGUGUCUUCUUCGCAUGGGGAAAAUAAUCUAAAGACAGAUGAACAGUUUCUUUUUGUUACUCUUCUCGACUUUUAUUCUUUGUCGAUUUCUGCAGUAAUGAGUUCUCAUUUGUCCCUUUCGUUUGUUACUUUAUGUAGUAAUUUCAUAAAAUUCAUUUCUUCUUUUAAACGAAACUAUAUCUUUGAAGUAAAUUGAUUUAGCUUGCGGACAAACUCAUUAAUUUUGUUAGUUUUUUUGUUAAUACCAUUGGUUAAAUGUUGGUUACUUUCCAGUAACUUUGUCUGCGAUAAAAAAAAAGAGUGAGAAUUAAUACUCCUUAUCCGGAAUUAACUAGAAACUUGAAAUCCAAGUAAUAUUGGAAGCAUCAUAUGGGGACUUUAACCAACCCCUAAGUUUCUUCUUGAUUUAACAUAUAUGCAUUUUAAUCUUGGAGUUUUUUAGUUGAUCAAUUUAUUUCUGAACAACAAAAUAUAUCUUAAACUGAAGAGACUAUGAACAAGAUUAAUUAAUAUUCCACAGUAACCGAAAUUCUUGAUAAAAAAAUAGUUGAAAUAAUCACAAUAUUAAUUUAUAUUCCACACUAACCAAAACUUUUGAUAAAAAAUAGUUGAAAUAAUCGCAAUGUUAUACUUGUGAAAACUAAUGAUUAAAAAUGUGAAACCAUCAUGAAACAAACCAAAGUUAGUACUUUCUUUAAACUCCCAAUUUUUCUCUUCUAUGUUUUCUUCUCAGGACACAUUUUCUAUUUUUUUUGGUUCUCAGAUGAAAAGCAGCACAAGCUUAUGUGGUUUCUAUGAAAAAGAAAAACCAAAAGUUAGAAAUUAUCAAUAAACUUCUUGGACUAAUUCGAUUUCUUUGAGACUGGCGACGACUUCUUCUUGGUCAAGGCAUCUAAUUCUUUUUCUUGUUGCUUCUUGAGGUAUCUCUGCGCAGUUGCAGUCACAAUCUGGCCGAAGAAAUUCAAAAGCAUCAGCCACACGACUCCAUUCCACACGGAUGCAAAAGAAAGAUCCCAUUUCUUUACCUGAGAACCAACAAAACAAUCAUUUAACAAUGCAAAACGUUAUUUGCUGAAGUAAAGAGAAACAAGAAUCUCUUACAUUGAUGUCAGAGGUCACUGGAGGUGAAGCAAUCAAGUACUUCUCCUUCAUUAAGCGGAGUUUGGCUGCGAGCGCAGGCAACGCAGUAGCAAAACCAGGCACAAAGCUUAAUAUAUAUAUCAGCUCGUUCUCUAUCCAGUCAAGAAGCUGAUUGUUACAUACACAUAUGAUGAAGACCGUCUGCAAAAACAGCAAGAGUUUGAGAUCAACCCUGAAGGAAAGUGCCACAAAACAAAAGUACUAUGGAAACGCUAACAAACCUGAAUAUGCGUUUUGAUGAUUGCCUUUCCAAGCAACGUUGCAAGGAAAAACUCCCAGAAUGGUUUCUCGAAUUGUCCACACAUGAUUCCAGCAAGGUCGAAUAAUGGGUUAGGAACCUGAGUUGUAAGGACACGUUGCACCAAAAUCAUAAGUUUUCUGGAAUCAUAAGAAGCACUGAAUUGUUCAGAAGGCGCAUCAGAAACAUACCGAAGCAAGAACCAGAAUAGUGAAGAAGUUGAGGUAUUGUGAGUGUGACAAUAACCAGCCUUUGAGAUUAUUUAAUCGUCUACCAAUGAAUCCACUACCGUCACCACCACAUGUUUCCAGCUCUUCCAUUUUUCCUCCGGAAAGACUCGCUGCAAAGAAGCCAAGAGUAUUAGCAGCUCACUCCCUUAGCUUCUUCAUAAACAAACAUCAAGUAAGUUUUGAGUCUUUUACCUGCCCUUGAGAUAAAGUAAGGAGGGAGCUCUCCCAACGCUGUUCCUAACCCCCAAAGAACGGCCUCUAUCUGAACCUGAGGCAGUAUGCUGCUAAGAGGAACUCCUGACGAGAAAACUGGUGGGCCAAACUCGUUGCAAGGUUUAUCAAGCCACGAGGGGCUUCUCUUCAGCUGGAUUGUGUCGUAGAUUGCGGUUUUUAAAUCGACGCGACCGCACGUCAUUGCUUUUAUGGUGAAUAAUGCAAUGUGAGGACCCAAGUAAAGAACAAAUGUAUGCAAACCAGAUCCUGAAAUCGUCAAAAAGUAUUGUUAGUAUUCAUCAAAACAAUAUCAGCCUUGAGGGUGUUUAAAACAUAUUCUUACCAAGACCAAUUGAGGAUGCAACACCUAAGAAGAUCCACCAUAGCCCAAAUCUAACGUACUCAGAGAGUUCCUCAAGGUGCUGCACUUGGUAGAAAAUAAAUAGAUAUUACAAUUUGCUUCAUCCAAAUAUGUAAAAUUCAAAUAAAGAAGCGAAUGAGCUAACAGCUAAGAUCACAAGCAGAGUUUUAUUUCCUUUGUAACCACUCCCUUUGCCUAAAGCUACACACAGACAGAAACGGUUUUAAGCUAUUUUACCUUAACGUGUGGGCCAUCGAGGGUCACAAGCAGAGCUGAAACUACCGCAAAAACGAUAGUGAAGAGCAUAAACAAGCCGCCGUUAGCAAGAAGGUAGGAGGCAGAUCUUCUUAGAUAAAGAAAAACAGCAGCGACAAAUAGUCUAAAGGUCUUGAAAGGCUGCGAGGUCAAUGUGAGUUUCUCUAGAUCCUGUUGAUGCUUCUCUCGCAAACCUGGCAUAAAAAAAAACAUAGAGACUAUUACUUUUUAGACAAACAAAAACUCAAAACUCAUGAAUCAAAUCAAACACCAAUGGAUCUCUCUGUCUAUUCAUAUCAAUUGGGAUAAUCAUCUAAGAAUGCGCGAACAUCAAUGAAUCAUAUCGAUCUGAUCCAAUGUUCAACCCUAAAAAGUUUCAAACUUUACUCAAUAAAAGAGCUGCUACAUCGUUUAGACAACCACUCAAGCUCUAAAAAUCCAUGAUCUCUGUCUAAUUAUACCAAUCAGAUUCAAUGUAGGAAGUUUAAACCUAAAGUUUGAAACUUUAUGAAGGGGAACGAAGAAGGGCACCUGAGAUUGCAGGAUUUGUUGUAGAAGAAGCACGUUUCGAAGAACCCAUCUUCCAGAGGCAAAUUUUGUCGAUUCCUACUGAAACUCUGGGCUCUGAUGAACACUGGGUAUGUUGGUGGAGCUUGGAAUUGAAUCGAAAUCAAUGUCUCGAUCUCGAUUUGAAAGUUACGUCUUUUUUUUUUUUUUUUCCUAUUCUUCUCUUCUCCUGUGUUUACGGUGUGCGACCAAAAUAUCAGGUUCCUGUUUUGUUGGGCGUGUUUGGUUUUUAUAAUUCGAUCCUCAACUUGAAAAAUUAAAAAUAAUUUAACGGGCCGAUGGGGAUAGUUAAUGGGCUUAGUUUAAAGCCCAUUGGAUUCUUAACUUUAAAAAGGCUCUUUUCUCGGUCAACUGUUAUGUUCUUUAUUUUUUUGGGAGUCAACACUUGUUUUUGUUCUUACCUUCGCGAGUGUAAUAACGUUUUUUUUUUUGUUUGUCUUAAAAAAGUUAAAAAAACCCUUUGUCCAACUCCAGAGUUUCUCUUCCAAAUCCCUUCUAUUUCUCAAACGAGCAUCGCAGAUUUCGUAGUGCUCAUGGAGGUUGAAUUGAAAGCAUUGCUCGAUGAUCUCAACGUUCUCGAGAAAUCUCUCUCCGAUCCGGCUCCGAUCCAGAAGGUGUUUGUUCUUUUGCUUCUGAUCUCGUUCUUAAGUGGAUUAUUUACUUAUUCCAAGUCCGUCUCUUUUGUGUCAUGGAUUAUGUUUUUGCUGUCUUAAAUUCGAAAAGAACUGAACUUUUCACAUGCAUUGGUGUUUAACUGUUUAAGAGUUAUCCUUGUAUUGAUCUGGAUUCUAUUGAAAGCAUUCAUCUUUAUGGCAAAUGUGAAAGCUUUUGUUGUUGUUGCAUUGUUCUUAUGUUUUUGAUGAAUCAUACAGCUGCGAUCACAUGUUGAGAAUCUAGCGGCUCUGUCUAAGUGUAACCCUCACCGGCGUUCUAAAGUCAAGGUCUGCAUUUAUAAUUUAUUGACAUUUUCUUCUAAUUUAUGUAAUCAAAUGCAAAACGUUCUGAUAGAGGGAUUCUCUAUUGCAGGAAUUGAGUUCGGAAGUGGUAGAUAGUAAUCCUUACAGUAGGCUUAUGGCUCUUCAGCGGAUGGGUAUUGUUGAGAACUAUGAGAGAAUCAGAGAGUUUUCAGUUGCCAUUGUUGUAUGUAUCCCUCUCUCUACCUCUCUCUUUGUUUCCAAGUUUUCCUCGCCAUAUAUAGCUUAUACAACUUUACAUUGACAGGGCAUUGGAGGUGUUGGAAGUGUUGCUGCUGAAAUGCUGACUAGAUGUGGUAUUGGUCGGCUUUUGUUGUAUGACUAUGACACUGUCGAACUUGCUAACAUGAACCGACUCUUUUUCCGACCUGAUCAGGUUCUCUCUUUUCAUUUUAAUUUGCAAUCUCUCUUUUUUUUUUCAUUCAGUUAGUCUUGUCUGUGUUCUGAUCUCCGAGUAAUGGUGACUGUAGGUUGGUAUGACAAAGACUGAUGCUGCUGUACAGACCCUUGCAGAAAUUAACCCUGACGUAGUCCUUGAGGUAAGUUCUCUACUUGAUUGUCUUCUUCAUGGGGAUUAAACAUACCUGAUGCUAGUUUAUAGGUUGUUUAUAUCAUAUUUGCUUGUAAAUGAAAAGUCUAUGGAUUCGAUUUGAAUUAUUUUCUUAUUAUGUAGGAGGUCUUUGAUGUAUGAUGUUCGUUUCUUUUGCCUCUUUCUGGAUAGUUUAUUGUUUCUGCUCUUUUCUACUGAGAACUAUUACUUUAGCACUCACUUAACUGAAGUCACAAUUUGCAUUUUUUCUCCUAGAGUUUCACAAUGAACAUAACAACGGUGCAAGGCUUUGAGACCUUCACGUCGAGCUUGAAGAACAAGUCAUUUUGUCCUACCAAGGAGGGCUGUGGUGUGGAUCUUGUUUUGAGCUGUGUUGAUAAUUAUGAAGCAAGGAUGGCUGUCAACCAGGUACCUCUUUUUUUUUUUUUUCUCGAGAAAGAGCCUUCUUUUUGUUACAAAUUUGCCACAUAGUUUUUACUUCUCCAUCAAGCUUUUCGAUCUUUUAUUGUAGAUGAGUUGUUACUUACAACAUCUGGUAUGCUUGUGAGUGGUAAAGAUAGACAGCUUCUGAUUUGAGUUUAUUCUUUGAUAUAUUGUAUAGGCAUGCAACGAGUUAAGUCAAACGUGGAUGGAGUCAGGUAAACACUAUGAAAAGCUUAUAAUUGCAUGUAUCAUUGGAAACAACCUAUGAAUUGGCAUGUCUCCGUGGCUCUUAUGCACAAAGGGAUUGUCAUAUUUUGUAGCAGUCUUGUCUGUUCGCAGUUCACCAGUUCUGAUGGAUCAGUCAUCUAUUUAUGAAUCACAUUCAGCUCGUGAAGUCUGUAGUUGAGCUGACAUAGAAUACGAUAUUUUGUGCAGGUGUUUCUGAAGAUGCCGUUUCAGGUCACAUACAGCUUCUGGUUCCUGGAGAAACUGCUUGUUUUGCUUGUGCACCUCCUCUGGUAUGUUAUUUUUCCUUCUUACAUCAGUCAUACAACUGCCUAGAUGCUCGAGGAAUGUUAGAAGUAGAACAUUAGUAAAUUUAAGGAUUUUAUGAUUCAGUGUGCUGUUAACUUACACUUGCAUCUCCUCUAAAUAACAUACCAGAAUCUUUAUAAGUAGAACUUUGGUAGGGUGCUGUUAAUACUACACUUGCAUCUCCUCAAAAUAAUCUAUUUAUAUUUUAUAGGUCGUGGCAUCUGGAAUUGAUGAACGGACACUUAAGCGAGAAGGGGUCUGUGCUGCAUCUCUGCCUACUACUAUGGUAAUUGUCAACCACCUUACAGUACUGUUGAAGAACAUUUGGAUAUUAUAACUAGUUAUCAUGUAGCAGACAAUGUGUUUGCUUAAUUUUGAAUUCAGGGUGUUGUUGCGGGGCUUUUGGUUCAAAACUCUCUCAAGUUCUUACUAAACUUUGGUGAAGUUUCUCCAUACUUGGUAAAAAGUCUUAGCUCCUCUUGCAUUAUCAUAAUGAAUCAUUUGAAGUUCAAUCGUUUUAUGAUUCUGCUACUUGACGUCCACAGGGUUACAAUUCACUGAAGGAUUUUUUCCCAACCAUGCAAAUGAGACCAAAUCCACAAUGCUCUAACGCAGCUUGUAUGGAACGGCAGGUAACUUUGAGUGAAAAUCAACUACAUUACUCUCUCAGCUCGUUUUUGUUUCACUGUUCCAAGGCUAAAAAUGGAAAUUUCAAAAAUGCAGAACGAGUACAUGCUUGCAAAACCAGCAAGGGACGCUGCUGCCAAAGCUAAGAUGGAAGCUGAUGCGUUAACAGCUGUUGAUGAUGGUCCACUCCAUGAUGAUAAUGAGUGGAACAUAAGGUAACAACUCUGUAAAAUUAGUUAACAGACAUAUAUGCAACGAGAGAUCUGAUGUGUAUCUUAUGUCUUUUUGUAAGUGUGGUUGAUGAUGAAAAUGAGAAGGAUGCAGCAAAAGCUUCCUCAAGUUCAGGUAGUUUCAACUUGGGACUCUCUGUACCAUUUAUGUGAAAGUGUAUUAAAAUUUGAAGUUUUCUUCUGACAAUUCUUGAAAUUGAUUUUGUGGUUGUAAUAGAUACAUUGCCAGAAGGGCUUACUAGGGAGCUUCCAGUCGCAGAUGAGUAUGAGAAGGCAAUAGCUAUAGGGUCUGGAGAGGCAGAUGAGGAAGAGGACGACCUUGAAGAUCUGAAGAAGCAGCUCGAAGCUCUUAAUGCUGCUUGAAGUCUUUUAUUGUGAGACAUAAUAUAGUUGUUUUAUCAGUUUUUACUUGAAAGAGGUGACAAACGCAAUUGUGUAAAAGCAAAAGAAAAGAGUGUUUGAGGUUUUGAUAAAUUGGAUCUCACAGGCAUAUAAACAAUAAUCUUUUUGGAUGAUGAUUUCUCCCUUUUAUUAUUGGCUUACCAAAGUUGAAGUUAUACAAUUUUGCAGAUAUUGCAUGGUUUUCUACAGGCGUGGGCGUUCGGGUCGGGUAUUUUGGUAUUGAAGUUUAGAAUCCAUUUUGAAUAUUUUUAUUGGGUUUAAAUAUUUUUAAUUUGAGUUCGGUUAUUUCGGGUCGGGUUUGAAUAUUUAAAAGUAGCCUUACUUGGCAAACAUGAAAGGGUUAAUAAAAAGGAUGGUAAAAAACAAAACACACUCAACCCAAACCAGAAGAAGUCUUUCAUACAUAAAAAGAAAAAGCAAUGACACACCAUUAAGAAUUUUCAAUACUUUUUACCAAGAAUGACACCUAUAAUGACAGACACAAGAGCCACUCCGAGGACAAUCUUCAAUGUCAUGAAAUGAGAUGUUUCAGCUUUCUGAGUUGUUGUAACGUUUCCUGAAGAAGAAGACGAAUGUGAAGCAGAAGAAGCAUGAUCUGACUCCUCCUUACUCUUACGUUGCUUUGGAGUUGGAAAAGAGAAAUCAAUAUCUCGAGGCUUAACUUCUACUUCUCCUUUUCCUAUAGUCUCAGUUUCCUGCAAGUUUGAUUUAUGAAGCUUCAUUGCUUCCUCGUCCACCGAAACCUGUUCACUUGCUUUAGCUUCAUGCUCAUGCAAUUUUGAGGUCAGUUCUGCAACUUUUUCGACCUGAAAAAAAAAGACACAAGAAACACCACACAAAUUGUGAAUCAGCAUUCCUAAAAUGUUAUCCCAUUGUCCUGAGUUAUACUGUUACCUCUUCUUUCAACUGAGCUUCAGCGUUUUUCAAUUGUUUUUCAACUUCAUCAAACUUGGACUCCAACACCGACUUUUCAGAAGCCACAGAAGUGAGCUUCUUGAUUUCGGAUGCCAUAGCAUCCAGUUUAGACUUCUCUACUCCGAGGUGUUCUUGAAUAUUUAUGAGCUCAUUCUUUGUGCUGUGAUGUAUCUCAUUGACUUGGCUAUUCUCUUCUGCAAGGGAUUUAACCUAAAGUAGAAAGCAGUGUCAAAAUAUAUCAUGAGAUGGUUUACUAAUACAUGAUUUUUUAGAUUCUGUGAAUGUUUUGUCUACCUGUGAUCUUAAUCUUUCUGUUUCAGAAGUAAGCUUGUUUGUUAAUUUUUCUAUGGCCCCCUUUGAAGCCUGUAGCUCUUUUGCUGUUUGGUUCUUCUCAGCUUCUAAAGCAGCGAACAUUGCCUGAAAGCCACUGGUCUCUGACCCAUGAUCGGCUAGCUCCUGGUUCAGCUUUAGAUUCACUUCGGCUAAAGAUCCAUUUUCUUUCUCAAGCUCUUUGAUUGUAUCUUCAAAAGUCUUGAGUUUCUGUAGAGCCUUUUCAAGCUCUAUUUUUCUAGUAUCAGCAACUUCAGAUACUUCUAGGACUUUCUUAAUAUGUUCCUCAAUUAGGUUUUCAUGGGAUUGUAACUUUGUAGCCAAGUCUUUAGCUUCUAUGUCUCUCUGAUUAAACCUUUCCUUCUCAGCAACCAGAAAGCCUUCAAGUUCUUGAAUCUUGAUCUUGAGUUGAUUGUUUGUGUCUGAUAGUAACUCAUUCUCCAAGGAUGACUGAUAAAGAUCUUCAGAUGCUUCAGCCAACUUGUCUUCAUAUAAUCUUAUUCUCUUCUCCAAAUGUUUCGAUUUCUCGGUCAAUGACUUGGCCUCCGUAUCUAUGAUAUUGAGUUCCUUCAUUGCCUUCUGAAUGCUGAGAUCUGAGUGUUUAUGCAAAUCUUUUAUGUCUUUGCUUCUUUUGUUAGCUUCAUCUGUUUCUCUUGCUUGCUUCUCAAGUCUCUCUUCAGCUGAUUUCAGCUUCUCCAUCGCCUCGCUUUCCCUUAAUCCAGCAGCUUUGUUCUUCUCAAGUUCCUGGCUCAGUUCCAGCUCCAGUGCUUUUACAUUUUCUUGCAGUUCAUAUAGUUCUCUCUGUGGAGUGCUUGAGCUUCUUUCAAUAGGAACUUGCUUCUCUGCUUUCUCACCAUCCUUAGUGUCAAUCCCUUCUUUCUCAACCUUUAUGAAUCCACCAUCAGAUGUAGUAUCCUCCUCUUCUUUCGUAAUUGCUUUAUCUUCCUUGGUCAUUUCUCCCUUCACAUCCUGUAAUCAAAAACAGUCACAAUACUUAAAUCUCCUAUGAUAACUAGUAAUAAUAAAAAGUUGAUAGAUUCAGUAGCACGUCUAGAAUUAAAAUCUUUUCUUUGUCAUAUCAAUCUAUUUAAUGUCAAAGAUAUAAAUGAAAACAAUUCUCCUAUAGUUAUAGUAGUUAGGAGUGAACUUGAAUGAAUUGUAGUAUUGUACAAUAGAUUAUAGAGGAUAACCUGUAUGUUCAAUGGCAAGAGAAAAAAACAUUAAAAUUUUGUAAAAGUAUUUCAUUAUGAACAAACAGAUCAUUACCUUAACAGAAACAUCGACCGUCUUUACAUCCUCAAGUGCACCUUUCACUACAUGGACCUCGGAAUUCAUUUUUGUUUCUUUUUCCAUCAAGCAGUUCCUAAUACCUUUUAGUCUGCAACCGACGAAAAAUUUAAGGCUUUGAAAAUGGUACUAAUAAUGAGUAAUUCACCAUGGUUUUAUAAGUUUUGUUUCUUGCAUCAACAAGAUAUGUGAUCAAGUUCAGUUGCAUUCCAACCGCAACAUUUUUAUCUUAUAGAAAAUGGAAAUCCUUUAGUAGCUUGUAAGAAAGAGAAACCAAAAUAUUUCAACCAUUCAUGAAAAUAGAUUGUAAAAUAUAAUUGGUUAAAUAGUGUCUCAUUGUAAUAUUCAAGUAAAUGGUGGAUUUAUUAUUGCCAACAACAUUUUUUAAAAGAUUAUGAAUAGAACAAAGGCUUACGAUCAUACACAAGUAUAAAGUAACCAAACUCCAAACAGAAUUUGCAACAAAGUUACUUUUAUUUGGUUGAUGAAACUAUUAAGCAUAAAGCAUAAACAUACUCAACUAUGUGAUCAUUGUUCUGUACCGUUUGAGAUUGACACACUUAUCAAGAUUCGAUGUAACCUUUUUUUGGAAAGACUAACAAGUUAACGGUGGCUUUACCAACCAAUAAAGAAAGGAUAGCCACGCACGGAGGUAUUAUUAAAUAUUAACGAGUAAUUUAUGUAUGUGCAAACCAAGAUGUGCUUAGAGUGUCAAUAUAAAAAGUCAACUAACAAAUAAAAGGCAUGUUUAACGCCCACAUAAUUGGUCGCCCUCUCUUAAAUUGUGUAUACAAUAGUAGUUUAUUAAAUUUGUAGUAUUUGACAAGAAGACUAUCCGAAAAGAAAUUUCAAAUGGAAAAACUAGUAUUACUUUAAACAUAUUGGAAACGAAUAAAAUUUGAAAACAAAUAUAUUUAAAUCCAAGUAUACAACUAAGAUAAAGAAUCACAAACUUAUUACAGUUAAAAUAAUAAUAAAAAAUCAUAAGCAAUGGCGACCAGAUGAAUAGUGAUGGAACAAGUAUACUACUAACUAAACAAGAAAAAUAGUUCCCAAAAUAGAAAUUUUUUCGCUACAAAAUAAAUAUCGUUUUCAAUUUUUAAUGCAAAAAUUAUUAAUUUUAUUUAACAAUAUAUUUUUUAUUGGUUGAAAUAUAGUUAGUUGUAUAGAUUUCAUAAUUGUGUUUUUAUAUAAGAAAUAGAUACAAUUAAUUGUUUCUUUAAUUUGUGUGCACAAAUCCAAAACAAAAUUUUAUUUUCGAAUUAUUCUGUCAGUUUUGGUUAAACACAAAACAAAAACUAUCACGGCCGUUAUAAAUUAGAGACGUGGAAGAUACUACUAACGUCUCAUCAAAAUGACAAAUUCUCACUGUAUCAGGCUAAACCGGGCAUUAAACGAUAUAAACGAAGAACAUUCGAUGAAUUAAGAAAUUGUAAUCAUUAACCUAGUUUUCUAAACGCUAUCUAUAGAUAGAGACAUAGCUUGAAAGUUGCAAGUGAAGCCUAAUUCUUGAAAGAAAUAUCAUCAAAAGAGUUACCACGUUUAAUAUUACGAUUCAUUCGUGUUUUUUUAGAGAAAUGAAUCGGUAAUAUAAGAAUAAUCAAUUGUUAAAUUUUAAAACAACUCACGUAUAGACAGAAAAAAGAAUAUGCAUACUACUAGUAUAAGAAGGUGAUUCAUCCAUUGAUCUGUUGAAUUCCUAAGUAGAAGUUAUCGUUGUCACUAUCAGAUAUAGUUAGAUUUUAAGACAAUCUAAAACAGAAAGACGACUUGGACCUAUCACCAGAUCCAACAAAAAAACAAAAGAAAUGACGGUGGAUUUGAGAUGCUUACUUGAAUCUGCUCAAUAUGUUUUUCUUUCUCUGUUUUUAGUUUUUGGAUUUUAGUUUUUCAAAAAAAAAAGUUUUCUCGUAAAUGGGGAAAUGAAAAUGCAUGAGGAGAGCAAGAAGAAGACCAAGAGAUGUCAAUGGAAGAGACGAAGACAAGUCUCUCUUUUAAUUGUUUUAGAGUUUAUAACGUGAACAGCAGAAAUAUAUAGGUCUCUCUUUGUAUUUUUGAAAGGCAAUUUCAACGGAUGAAUUAACUGUCUAAAUUCCUCUUCCACGGUUCCACCCCUUAUUUCGGUUUUCCCGGUUUGAGUUUGAUAUGAUGGUCCGAUCCCGAUUUAUAUUGUUCAUUAAUGUUAAUAAUUGGUAUUCUCUCCGUAUCAGUUUAACUGGUGUUUAAAGAUUUUGAUUUUGUUUCAAAAUAUGUGAUAUUUUCACAAUUCUAGGUGAAAUUUAAUGAAAUUUGAAAAUUUUAACCAAUUAUAAAAUACUGCAUUUUUUUAUUGGUUGAAUUAGUUUUAUUUAAUGUUACCAAAUCUAAUUACAUAAAAAUUUGUAUUUUCUUAAUAUUUGUGCAAAAACUUUAAACACCUCUUAAAAUGAUACAAAAGGAGGAUAUUUUUGUAUCAUAGCCUUAUCCUAGUUUUUCAUAAAGUUAAAGACAAUAUAGUCAAAUAACUAAUCAAUAACUUUAAAUGUGUACCCAACUUCCAAAUAAUGAGUUAUUGAAAAUGCAUAUCUAGAAUUGAAGUGUUUCUUUCUUUGGUAUAACAACAACAAAAUGUACCUGUAUAUAAUUUAUCCAUCUAAAUGAUUAACAUAAAAUAUAUGAAUAAUCCUUUUUAUGAGUUAUAGACACUACAUAUAUUUAUAAUUCAUAUAUAUUAUAAUCACUUCACAGUUGAGAUAAGUUGAUACAUGUAAAUAUUUCUUUCUAAUGUUUCUUGUAGAAGUUAUGAGCAUUUUUGGUUGGUCGAUUGGGAUUGUUUAAUAUUAUAAGAAAGCAAAGAUUAGAAAAGGGUAAUUUGCAAGGCAUUCCAACAAAUCCUUAUACUUCAUGCAAUUUCAUGUUUCUCAUACCUUGUUCGUAUAAAUAUAUGUCUAUUUUUUGCAUUCUCCUAUUCAUCAAGUUCCUUCUACCCCUUCCCUCUUAAGAAAAACAACAACCUGAAAAUUUUCCAAAUACUUUUUUUUUCCUCCAAAUAUCAUUUUGUUCCAAAAAUAUGAAAUUUAGAACAAUUUCAUUACCUCUAUCUAUAGGAAUUGCCAUAGUGGCCAUUUUAGCAUCCAAAACUCUAUUUGACACACAUCCUAGAGCCUUCAUGCACAAUCCUUUCGAUGUUCUGCAUACAAUCAAAGCUAUAUCAUAUUCAGCUAUAACUUCCGUUUACAGCCGCCACCACCAUCAUCAUCACCACCACCAUAAAAAACCAUCUGAUACCAAAAAGAAAGUAUCAAUAUGCGACGAUUUCCCCAAAAACAUACCUCCACCAGACACCGAUACGACGUCCUAUCUCUGCGUCGAUAAGAAAGGCUGCUGCAAUUUCACGACAGUGCAAUCAGCCGUGGACGCAAUCGGAAACUUUAGCCAGAAAAGAAACGUGAUAUGGAUCAACUCCGGCAUGUACUAGUAUGUUUUCGUGAUAACCUUUUUGUUCCACUAAGUAAUUGUUAUAACGAUCCUGUUUAAUUAUUAAUUUAUAGUAAAAAUAUUAAUACGUAAAAGUAAAUAAAAUAUACUUAUUGUGUGGCAGUGAAAAAGUGGUGAUUCCGAAGACUAAGCCAAAUAUCACGUUACAAGGACAAGGGUUCGAGACGACAGCCAUAGCUUGGAACGAUACGGCCUACUCGGCUAACGGCACUUUUUAUUGUGCCACGGUUCAAGUCUUUGGUUCUCAGUUCGUCGCUAAGAACAUAAGUUUCAUGGUAAUUUCAUUAUCUUUUGACACAACUCACAAGCAAUAUACCAUACUUAAAUUGAAAGGCUAGAAACCUAGAAUGAAAUAUAUAUAUUAGUCUUGGGAUAUAUUUUGGUGACAGAACGUGGCUCCUAUACCGAAGCCUGGAGAUGUAGGAGCUCAGGCGGUGGCGAUAAGAAUCGGGGGAGAUCAAUCUGCGUUUUUGGGAUGUGGUUUCUUUGGAGCUCAAGACACUCUUCAUGACGAUAGAGGUCGUCAUUACUUCAAGAAUUGCUACAUUCAAGGCUCCAUUGACUUCAUCUUCGGCAACGCUAAAUCUCUCUACCAGGUACAUAUAUUUACUUAGAUAAUUAGACUUUUCGUUAUAUAGUUUAAUGGACUUCAUUUUAUCGACGCUAUAAAUAAUAACUUAAUAUAAUUUAUAAACAAAUAUCUCCGAGCCAAAAAGAAGUACAUGCAAGUUACAUUAAGUCCAAGUUAAAAUUUGGUAUGUUUAUGUAAUAAGUUUUUUCCUAGUAGGAUUGUCAAAUAAUAUCAAUGGCGAACCAAGUGAGCCCAGGGUCAAAGUCGGUCAACGGAGCCGUGACUGCUAAUGGCCGUAACUCAAAGGAUGAGAACAGUGGCUUUGCCUUCGUCAACUGCACAAUAGGCGGCACUGGACAUGUGUGGCUAGGUCGUGCAUGGAGGCCUUACUCGCGUGUUAUCUUUGUUUCCACUUAUAUGACCGAUGUUAUUGCAUCUGAAGGCUGGAACAACUUCAACGACCCCUCAAGGGAUGCGUAAGCACACACUUUUAUUUUCUUACCGAAGGUUGAUUUAACAAGAAUAAUACUAAGAUCCAUAUUUUUCUUUGUUGGGGUUAGGACAAUAUUCUAUGGAGAGUAUAAUUGUUCGGGACCAGGAGCUGAUGUUUCGAAAAGGGCACCGUAUGUUCAGAAGCUGAAUGACACUCAAGUUGCUGAGUUCGUUAACGUGACUUUUAUUGAUGGAGACCAGUGGUUACAAUUAUCCGAUCUUUAAUUAGAGAUAAAUCAUAAUCUCUAACUCUAUUGUCUAUAACAGUACAGUAACAAAUUGUGUUUACGGGACUGAAAUAAAAAAAAAUGCGAAAUGAGUUGUACAUGUAAAACUUGUUGAACAUAAUCUAGACAUUAAUUAACAGUUCUCCAAUCUAAUCGUGGAGUUCCUAAUUUUGUUGCUUAACCAAGAGUAUAGUAACUCAAAUGUAUAUUAACCAUAAUCAGACCGGCCGGUUCGGUUCAAUUUAGAAAAAACAUUAAUUUGCAAUUGCAUCUUCUUCACAUGCUCCGCAUAUUCCUCGGGAAAAUGCUGCUCGAGAGAAUAAAGAGGAACAACGCUCGCACCUUUGCGAAUUUCGCAACCUAUCGGAAGUUAUGACUAACGUCGCCGGAGAUCGUAACGGAGACGGACGUUCAGCCGCCGUCACCGAGAGUUCGCCUCCCUCUGAUCCUCCAAUCCGCGUCUACGCAGAUGGGAUCUACGAUCUGUUCCACUUCGGUCACGCUCGAUCUCUCGAACAAGCUAAGAAAUCGUUAGUACUUGUUAUCUCUCGCGGCGAAUGUUUCCUCAUUGUUCAGUCUCGAUUUCGAUUUCGAUUCCUGUAGCUGUUUUGAGUGUGUUUGUUUGUGGAAUCAUGGUGAUAGUAUCUCGCGCAAUUAGAAUAUCUUAGUGUUGAUCUUGUGAGUUUAGUCAAGAUAUGUAAUGGCAUACUGCAAUGAUUUUGAUGACUAUUCAAGUUAGAUUCGUUCCAUGUUCUUAUUAUUGAGUGCACUGUUGAUGGUAUUGGCCAAGCAGGUUUCCAAACACUUACCUUCUUGUGGGAUGCUGCAAUGAUGAUACUACUCACAAGUACAAGGGAAAGACUGUGAUGAAUGAUCAAGAACGAUAUGAAUCUCUUCGACAUUGCAAGUAAUUUUUGUUUUUCUCACUAAUGUUUGCUUGUGUUAGUACUGCUAGUGAUGGUGAUGGUUAACCAGUUUCGUCAUGCAGAUGGGUGGAUGAAGUUAUCCCUGAUGCACCGUGGGUGAUCAACCAAGAGUUUCUUGACAAGCACCGUAUUGCCUAUGUUGCCCAUGAUGCUCUUCCGUAAGCUUUCUUUAUCACUUGUCUUGUAAAAAGAAUGCAGGACUUUAGUGUUGAAUAGUGAAGUUUGUUUCAAACUAUCAGCUUUAUUCUCACUGUAGACUAAGCUUAUUUGUAUAUAUAUUAUCCACAGGUAUGCUGAUGCCAGUGGAGCUGGAAAAGAUGUCUAUGAGUUUGUGAGUCUGAGUCGAUAUUCAUACUCUUUUCUUCGGUUGACGUUAUCUGUGGCUAUGAUAGUCAGUUUAUGUUUUUAACUGAGUUUUCAUUGCAGGUCAAAAAAGUAGGGAGGUUCAAGGAGACUAAGCGAACUGAAGGGAUAUCUACUUCGGAUAUAAUAAUGAGGAUAGUGAAAGAUUAUAACCAGUAUGUCAUGCGUAACCUUGACAGGGGAUACUCAAGGGAGGAUCUUGGAGUUAGCUUUGUGAAAGUAUGACAUCAUUUCUCGACCUUUCUCAUCUUGUUGUUUUGAAAUUUUCUCUACUUAGGAGUAAACUUUGGAUGUGUUGACUUGGAACAGGAGAAGAGACUUAGAGUUAAUAUGAGGCUGAAGAAACUUCAGGAGAAGGUCAAAGCACAACAAGAGAAAGUUGGUGAAAAGGUUUGUAUUUCACUCACAUUUCCUUUGUAGAUUGAUCAUCCUGAGUCCCUUGUUUAUAGUGUUAAAGGUUAUGUAGUUAUCUUAGCUCUUGAGACACUAUCAUUGAAUACGGCAUACCAAGUGUUAAAGGUUAUGUAGUUAUCUUAGCUCUUGAGACACUAUCAUUGUUCUAGUUUAUGUACCUUCUAUUUUUGAGAGUUUGUCGUCAGGAUUCUUCUGUUUAAAUAUGGCAACGCCAAGUGGUUGAAUUAUCUAUCUGUAGACUUUAGUGGCAUACAGUUUGCGAGUGUGGUUAAGCCCACGCAUGAAAACUGCAUUCUGUAUUGUGGUGGAGCUCUCUCUUUAAGAUCUCUGAUAACUUUGAUAUCUGAUAUCGAAUUUUAAUGAUUUGGUUAACUUCACAUAGAUUUAUAAUUUUUUAGCCUCUAAUCUAUCAAACCCGUUCUAAUCCUUGCAGAUCCAAACUGUGAAAAUGGUACGUAAUGAGUGGGUGGAGAAUGCAGAUCGUUGGGUAGCUGGAUUCCUUGAAAUGUUUGAAGAAGGCUGCCAUAAGAUGGUAAGUUAGCAAACCUAAUAAAAAUCCUCUUUUCGUGAUUUUGGAGUUUGCACUAAUCUGUCAUAAAAUAAUAACUUGUAUAUUAGGGAACUGCCAUCAGAGACCGAAUCCAGGAGAAGUUAAUGAGACAAGAGUCCAAAGAAUUGCUCGAGACGGGUCAGCAUAAAGACACGGAGGAACAGUUCUACGAAGAAUAUUUCGAGCAUGACAUUGUUGACAGCUGUGAAGACAACGAAGACGAUGAAGAAGAGUACUAUGACGAGAUUGAAGAGCAAUGUAGUGCCUCAAAAGCAUUAAAAAGUAACUAGAGGAAGAUAUUUUUUAUGUUGUUUUAGUGCCCUAUUGUUCACUAUUGCAGUAAAAUGCUUAUCAAAUGACUUAUUAGUUAGCUACAAGAGUUUAGAAAACAUUUAUGUGAUCUUCUUUUUAAAGACAAUCCUUUUGCUGCCCUCUUUUUAUUAGAUUUUUGUUUUAUUUUGUAUAAUUUAGUUUAUAAAUUAUAACCAGGAUUGUUCAAAAAAAAAAAUUAUAACCAUGCAUUGUUUUAAUAUUUCUUGUUUGGUUUAAUUUUUUUAAAAACCUUGUAACAUUAGAUGUUCUAAUUGGUGAUUUCAGUGAGUUAUGUUUUUGGUUAGGCCUGGUUAAUGACAAAAUUUCAAAAGAUACUAUUUUCUUUACGUGACAUAUAUGUCACUAAUUUUUUCCGACAUUGGUAUAACAUGGAUAAAGAUUUAGACCCCAAAUAACCAUAAUUUUGAAAUAUAAUUAUGUUCUAUGUAAAUUUAGAUUCAAAAGCUAAGAUCCUUAUAACAAAUCUUUUUCUUAAGUUGAAAAAAUCGAAAGCAAACGGAAUAUCCCGAUCUACAGGCAUGUCCACAUUUAGCACGUGCUAAUUCACUUAGCGUGAUCCUUAGCACGUUUACUAUAAAUUAAGAGAACACAAGCUGGGAAAAGCAGAAGCCUAUUACGUGUGGUUUGUGUAUAUCUCAAUCUGAAAAUCUCAGAUCAGAUUGCUAAAUUUUGUUCGUUGGUUUUUGGUUUUUUUUUUUUUUUUUUUUUUUUUUUUUUUUGAGAAAAAUGCAUAUAAUGAGUUCACCAAUGUGCGACCAUUGCAAUAUGGGAAAAGCCGUUGUUUAUUGUAAGACACAUUUGGCUAGGAUUUGUUCUCAAUGUGACCGGAAGUUACACCACUAUGUGACUAUGGAUAGUCCCGAUCACUCGCGGCUUCUGUUGUGCGAAAAAUGCGUUUCGCAGGCCGCAGAUGUCCAGUGCCUUGAGCAAGGAUUGUGCCUAUGCCAAACAUGCGUUCCAAACGCCACCGUCACCUCACGUUUUCCUUUUUGUAACGUUUCUAAUAAUCAUUCUGGUUAUAGUUUUCCACGAGAUCUCGAUCUUGAUUCUUUUUCCUCCUCUUUGUCAUCUUCUUUAACUGAUCUCAGUUGGGGAUAUCACUUUGUUCCAUUAUCUCCCAAAAAUGGGGACUCAUCAUCAUCUUCCUCUGUCAUUUUUCAAAAUUUUGAUAAUCAUACAAAGAAUAAUAGUGAUCAACGAGGGCAAAUGCUUCAGCCCGAUUAUAUGGACAAUUCUAAGGUAUAUUCUUAUGGUUAGUUUAGAUGUGUCUGGGAUUAUAUUAUUAUGAUGAUACAUUUUUGUUCUUAUUUUGACGUGUCACUCUACGCAGGAGUUUUCAUAUUCAGGCUUGGAAGGUUACGAAACUAAAGAUAUAGAGAAUGUUUGGUUGAACAAUUUUGAUGACAACAAGGCAGUACUAUUAGACCAAAAAGAAUAUCUUUACAGGGAAGAAUUGAUCCUAACCGAUCAACUAAUCGAUGCAAUAAUGAAACACAAUGAUGAAACCACAACCGAGGUAGUAGCAAACAUCAACAUAAAUCUAUCGCAAAUUGAUGUUUUGAUUAAUUAUCUUUCUCUACUUUUUUGGUUAAAGAUUAUAUUGGCUUCAUCAUCGGGUAUGUCAUAGGUUAUACAUACAGAUUACAACAUUGAAGCUUUGGGUAAUGCAAGUUGUGAAGAUUCCAACACGAAUCAAAUGAUUCAAUCAAAGGCAAAGGAGGAGACCAAUAAUAAUGUUGGAAUAUUAUUCCCUAACGCUCAUAUUCAUGAUGAGUGUCGACCAUCGCAGUUGAUUCUGACUGAUGUCGAUGAGAUGUUACCAUGGGAUGAUCAAUUACUUGAAUCUCCUAUAUACACACCCCAGUAUCGAUUAGAGGCAAAGAAGAGAUAUCUUGAAAAGAAAAAGAAACGCAAGUAGGUAUUAUUUUAUUAUUUCAUGAGAUAUAUUGCAUUUAACGUAUAGAUAACACCAAAAGAAAAAUUAUACGUACAAUAUUAAGGUUAUAUUGAAUGCAUGCAGGUUUGGGAAGAAAAUUAGAUAUGAAUCUCGAAAGUCUUCAGCUGAUACGAAGAAACGACUGAAAGGAAGAUUUACAAAAGCUGAUGCAGAAUAUGAUUAUGACCCACGAGCCAAUAAUACUAUCAAAGAGGUUUAUAAAACCAAGACCUAAUUAAAAAGUUGAUCAAAGAGGCUAAUAAACGAAGACCUAAUAAAAAGAUGCGUGCAACCAUAUGAUCGAUCAUCUUCGUUAUGGCUCCAUGAUGUGUUUAGACUCUCUUUUUUUAUUGCCCAGAAAAUUAGUUAUAGUACGACGACGUACGCUUUUUUUAAUUUUGAUAGAGAGGUCAAACACUUACAUUAUUAAAAGAGACUUUUUUUUGGCAGGGGGGAGCUUUUAUUAUUAUGGUAUUAAUGUUUUGAUAAACAAUAAUACAUUUCAAUUCUAGCUAGAGAACUUUUUUUCAACCUAAGUGUCCGUCCAUGUAUAUGUAAGGAAAAGGAAGGCUCGCUUUUGCCUCAGAGACUUUGAUAUGACAGUCAAAGAGAAAAAAAUGAUUAGUCUCCAAGAAGCAGAACAUAGUGUAGGUGUUUGCUCAUAGCAAUUUUUAAUAGAAGUUCUUCACCGAUUUAAUGAUGUUUCCCCUAAUGUCCAAAUGAUUGUUAAUUCUUUUUAACUAGGUUACAAUUACGCGGGAUAAAAUAAAUAUAUUAUUGUUUAUCAAAACUUUCCAAAAAUAACAGUUUUUUAAAAAAAUAUUUUAACAUACAACAUAUUGAUAAAAAAUUCUUAAAUAUCCAAAAAUAUUUUUGUUAUCCUAAUUUAUAAAUCACAAUCCCAAAUCUACAAUAUUUCUUAAGAAAAUGAAAACUUUCCAAAAAUACCAGUUUUUAAGAAAAUUAUUUAAAAAUACAAAAUUUUAAUAAAAAAAUCUUAAAGAAUACUCAUUUAUCCACAAAUAUUCUUGUUAUCCUAUGUUAUAUAUCAGAAUCCCAAAUCUACAAUAUUUCUCAAGAAAAUGAAAACUUUUCAAAAAUAGCAGUUUUCAAAAAAAUUAUUUAAAAAUACAAAAUAUUGAUAAAAAAUUCUUAAAGAAUACUCAUCUAUCCCCAAGUAUUCUUGUUAUCCUAAUUUAUAAAUCACAAACUCAAAUCUACAAUAUUUCCCAGAAAAUUAAAACCUUCCAAAAAUAACAGUUUUUAAGAAAAUUAUUUAAAAAUACAACCUAUUGAUGAACAUUUCUUAAAGAAUACUAAUCUAUCCACAAAUAUUCUUGUUAUCCUAAUUUAUAAAUCACAAUCUCAAAUCUACAAUAUUUUUCAGGUAAAUGAAAACUUUCCAAAAAUAGCAGGUUUUAAGAAAAUUAUUUAAAAAUACAACAUAUUGAUGAAAAAAUCUUAAAGAAUACUCAUCUAUCCACAAAUAUUUUUGUUAUCCUAAUUUAUAAAUCACAAACCCAAAUCUACAAUAUUUCUCAAGAAAAUGAAAACUUUCCAAAAAUGACAGUUUUUAAGAAAAUUAUUUAAAAAUACAAAAUAUUGAUGAAAAAUUCUUAAAGAAUACUCAUCUAUUCACAAAUAUUCUUGUUAUCCUAAUUUAUAAAUCACAAUCUCAAAUCUACAAUAUUUCUCAAGAAAAUGAAAACUUUCCAAAAAUAACAAUUUUUAAGAAAAUUAUUUAACAAUACAACAUAUUGAUGAAAAAUUCUUAAAGAAUACUCAUCUAUCCACAAGUAUUCUUGUUAUCCUAAUUUAUAAAU